This 250-nucleotide ribosomal RNA is filed under the name uncultured bacterium. Its description in RNAcentral is "partial 16S ribosomal RNA". It matches the Rfam family "Bacterial small subunit ribosomal RNA", at positions 355 to 597 of the family's 1533-position model. The record is from RNAcentral.
UCGAGAAUCUUUCGCAAUGGGCGCAAGCCUGACGAAGCGACGCCGUGUGAGCGAAGAAGGCCUUCGGGUUGUAAAGCUCUUUCGCUUGGGAACAAGAAAGGGAUACGAAUACUAUCCCGAUUUGAGGGUACUAGGUAAAGAAGCACCGGCUAACUCCGUGCCAGCAGCUGCGGUAAUACGGAGGGUGCAAGCAUUGAUCGGAAUUAUUGGGCGUAAAGGGCGCGUAGGCGGCCAGGUAAGUCAAAUGUGA